GAUGAAGAACGCAGCGAAAUGCGAUAAGUAGUGUGAAUUGCAGAAUUCAGUGAAUCAUCGAAUCUUUGAACGCACAUUGCGCCCCUUGGUAUUCCGAGGGGCAUGCCUGUUCGAGCGUCAUUAUCACCCCUCAAGCUUUGCUUGGUGUUGGGGCCUGCUGUAAUAGGCAGCCCUUAAAAUCAGUGGCGGUGCUUCAAGGCUCUAAGCGUAGUAAUUCUCCUCGCUAUAGUGUCUAGUGGUUGCCAGCCAGAACCCCCCAAUUUUCAUGAUUGACCUCGGAUCAGGUAGGGAUACCCGCUGAACUUAAGCAUAUCAAUAAGCGGAGGA
This 327-nucleotide unclassified non-coding RNA is filed under the name soil metagenome. Its description in RNAcentral is "partial contains 5.8S ribosomal RNA, internal transcribed spacer 2, and large subunit ribosomal RNA". The stretch from base 1 to 120 matches the Rfam family "5.8S ribosomal RNA", at positions 35 to 154 of the family's 154-position model. The record is from RNAcentral.